UGCACUGCUAGAUCACGAUGUAUGUCAUCAAUCAAAAUGAUGGUAAGGCUUCUGUCUUCAUUGUACUUCUGUUCUUCUUGAUAUGUCUUGCUUGAAUUUUGAAAACAAAAGUUGCUUUCAAUGUACUGGAGCCCUCUAGUAGCGCUCCGACCAUCUUAGGUACAGUAACCCUACACCGUACAAAGUGAGUGUCAGCGAACAACUCUAUGAUUUUAUCCACAAGCUUUGGCUUGAAGAAGCACCCGUCGGAGAAAUUAUGUGAAGCUUUGAGUUGUGAAUUUGGAUUGAGAGGAUCGGUCAACGGGCGAGCUGAUGUACAAAUGUAUGUUUUUUCUUGGAGUGGGUAGACCUGAGAGGAUUUUGCCUCAAGGAUUGCAUGUGACUUUCCACGAAACACGGUACACUUCGGCGCGUAUCUGUCUGCACAUUCAGCACGUUUGCCUCCUGCUUCAGAAAGCCACCUCAUGGACAUAUCAUUUCAACGGCACAGCAAUUGGCGAAAGAAGAACCCUCCAGCAAUAAAGGCCCUCCAAUACUGCUUUGAUAUUUGUUUUUCGUCCAUUGCUGCGCAACCUUGAUAGAUCAGGGUUGUAGUGCUAGUCUAGGCUAUCUAGAGACAAGAUGAGCUAAUGAGUAGUAGAUUUUCUCUUGAGUGUACUGACACAUGAUUGUGUGGAAAAGCUUUUCUUUAAGGUCACGGUCCGCUAUUAAAUUUCC
This 717-nucleotide long non-coding RNA is filed under the name Micromonas pusilla. RNAcentral's name for it is "long non-coding RNA (MPUS_LNC000023)". The record is from RNAcentral. Lineage: Eukaryota; Viridiplantae; Chlorophyta; Mamiellophyceae; Mamiellales; Mamiellaceae.